AGCCUUCUGUAUCCAUGCUGAGAUUUCGUCACACACCAGACCACAAGGGCU
RNAcentral lists this microRNA precursor (51 nucleotides) under Schistosoma mattheei. RNAcentral describes it as "mir-3492 microRNA precursor family". It matches the Rfam family "mir-3492 microRNA precursor family", at positions 1 to 51 of the family's 79-position model. The record is from Rfam by way of RNAcentral. Lineage: Eukaryota; Metazoa; Platyhelminthes; Trematoda; Strigeidida; Schistosomatidae.